Molecule: ribosomal RNA, 492 nt
Filed under: uncultured bacterium
Lineage: Bacteria
Description: partial 16S ribosomal RNA
Rfam family: Bacterial small subunit ribosomal RNA
Source: RNAcentral
AGUGAACGCUGGCGGUAGGCCUAACACAUGCAAGUCGAACGGCAGCACAGUAAGAGCUUGCUCUUACGGGUGGCGAGUGGCGGACGGGUGAGGAAUACAUCGGAACCUACUUUUUCGUGGGGGAUAACGUAGGGAAACUUACGCUAAUACCGCAUACUACCUACGGGUGACAGCAGGGGAUCUUCGGAUCUUGCGCGAUUGAAUGAGCCGAUGUCGGAUUAGCUAGUUGGCGGGGUAAAGGCCCACCAAGGCGACGAUCCGUAGCUGGUCUGAGAGGAUGAUCAGCCACACUGGAACUGAGACACGGUCCAGACUCCUACGGGAGGCAGCAGUGGGGAAUAUUGGACAAUGGGCGCAAGCCUGAUCCAGCCAUACCGCGUGGGUGAAGAAGGCCUUCGGGUUGUAAAGCCCUUUUGUUGGGAAAGAAAAGCAGCAGGUUAAUACCCCGCUGUUCUGACGGUACCCAAAGAAUAAGCACCGGCUAACUUCGUG